UCGCUUGGUGCAGAUCGGGAC
Molecule: microRNA, 21 nt
Filed under: Hordeum vulgare
Lineage: Eukaryota; Viridiplantae; Streptophyta; Magnoliopsida; Poales; Poaceae
Also listed under: 8 other names
Description: hvu-miR168-5p
Gene: hvu-miR168-5p
Source: miRBase by way of RNAcentral